Molecule: ribosomal RNA, 253 nt
Filed under: uncultured bacterium
Lineage: Bacteria
Description: partial 16S ribosomal RNA
Rfam family: Bacterial small subunit ribosomal RNA
Source: RNAcentral
UACGUAGGGGGCAAGCGUUGUCCGGAUUUAUUGGGCGUAAAGAGCGUGUAGGCGGCCAGGUAGGUCAGCUGUGAAAACUCGAGGCUUAACCUCGAGACGCCGGCUGAAACCCUCUGGCUAGAGUCCGGAAGAGGAGAGCGGAAUUCCUGGUGUAGCGGUGAAAUGCGCAGAUGUCAGGAAGAACACCCGUGGCGAAGGCGGCUCUCUGGGACGGUACUGACGCUGAGACGCGAAAGCGUGGGGAGCGAACAGG